GAGUUUGAUCAUGGCUCAGGACGAACGCUGGCGGCGUGCUUAACACAUGCAAGUGGUGCGACGAACCAGGGCUUGCCCUGGGGCAAAGCCGCGAACGGGUGAGUAACACGUGAGUAACCUGCCCCGAUGACCGGGACAACCCGAGGAAACUCGGGCUAAUACCGGAUGUGGCGCACAGGCGUAAGCCUGUUCGCUAAAGGAAGCUUCGGCCUCCGCAUUGGAGGGGCUCGCGGCCCAUUAGCUUGUUGGUGGGGUAAUGGCCUACCAAGGCAACGAUGGGUAGCUGGUCUGAGAGGACGAUCAGCCACACUGGGACUGAGACACGGCCCAGACUCCUACGGGAGGCAGCAGUGGGGAAUCUUGCGCAAUGCGCGAAAGCGUGACGCAGCAACGCCGCGU
RNAcentral lists this ribosomal RNA (399 nucleotides) under uncultured Actinomycetes bacterium. Its description in RNAcentral is "bacterial SSU rRNA". It matches the Rfam family "Bacterial small subunit ribosomal RNA", at positions 9 to 402 of the family's 1533-position model. Lineage: Bacteria; Bacillati; Actinomycetota; Actinomycetes. The record is from RNAcentral.